UUUACUUUUCAAGUGAGCAACAGACGGCUAAAGCCACUGUCCCCUCAAAAGCAGAAUUUAAUGAAUGUGAAUUUUCAUCAUAAAAUGGGCCAAGAACGAAAGGUGGGGGUGGUCACCAGCCCGGGCCCCUCCUCAGCUCACUUAACUUCCUCUGAUUCCCACGGGAGCGUUGCCAUUGGCCUGAAGGCAGCUCCAGUGUCCUCACACUGCCGAGCAGGGCCCCCAGCACGGCCAUUGUCGUGUCUCCUUCCUAAGCCGUGACGAGAGCACAGGACUCAUGAGGAUGCGACAGCGCGUCCUCAGUCUCUGACAGUGACCAGUGAAGGACACUGACGUGACCUGUGUGAACUUCAGUAACUGUGAGAGCAUCAGGGCCGAGCCUUCUCCGCAUGGGACAGUUUGGCCCAGCCUCUGCUUCCCAACCCCCCAGGCCACUCAGGACCUCAUUAAAAGGACCAGCCCCACUGUGACUCCUGCCGGUGGCCAGCUGCUCCCAUGGUUCCUGGAGUUGUCAGGAAGGGGUGUCGGCCUGUGUGUCCCAGGCUGCUGCAGCCCCAGGUGUCUGGGAGGGAAUGGGGCCUCAUGAGUCAGCCCCCAGCUCACCUCCAGGACAAGGCCAUUGCCUGACCCUGGCCAGUUCCCACCAGCUCCAUGUUGGCGGCAACCCUUCCCACCCAGCCCGUGAGCCCAGGCAUGGCUGUUGUGGCUGGGGAGGUGGAGUGAGGGGCUCAGACUCCAGCCCACCCGAAUCCCCAGCCCCACAGAGCCUGCACCGGGGACUCACAAGGCCCAUGAUGGGGCAGAGGCUCCAAGAGGCCGGGGACACACAAGGCCCAUGAUGGGGCAGAGGCUCCAAGAGGCCGGGGACACACAAGGCCCAUGAUGGGGCAGAGGCUCCAAGAGGCCUGCAGGGCUCAUGGAGGGUGGUUGGCUGAGGUGGGACACCUGCGGGGGGAACAGUUUAGGGAGGCCCCACCAGGGUCACUUAAUGACCAAACAGGAGAGGCUCAGCCUAGACUAUACAGUGACUCCGGGGAGCACCAGAAAAGACCCUGCCCAGGCCCCACCCAGACCACAACAUCCACCUCUCUGGUGGGGCCAGUGUGUGGUGGGGGCCUCCCGUUAGAGGUAGAUGUGUGCAUGCCUGGUGCAGGGGGCUGGUGCAGAGCAUUGGCAGGAGUGGCGCAGGAGGCCGGCGGCACCUGGAGCUCCGCAGCAUCCACCCAGGCCUCUCAGCCACACCGAGUUCCCCUUCCCGCAUGCCCCUAGGUCUGCACCCGCUGCCCCGGGCCGGCUACCUGCGCUCCCCUUCCUGGACGAGGACAAGGGCUGAGCAGAGCCACGAGAAGCAGCCCCUAGGCGACCCCGAGCGGCAGGCCACAGUCCUGGACACGUUUCUCACUGUGGAGAGGCCCCAGGAGGACUAGACCAUCUCCACCUGCCCCAGCUCCUGCAGGGAUGGGGUCCGAACACGAUGGCAGAUCUGGGCAGUGCUGACCCAGCAGACACACUUCACCCGCCCACGAGGCUCCAGCCGUCACCUCCUGACACACACCCUGGGGGCAGCUCUCUGCCAGCCCCGAGACCGGCCUUGUCUGCUGGGCACGGGUCUUCGCCUCACUUGGAGACCAGCCGGCUUUCCUGGGGGACACACGGGGCCCCCGGAUGCCUCUGGGAGCCCCAGCACAAGCACAGCCCAGUGGCCUUACGUCCAGCUCGUUCCUGGGCCCCGAGUCAGGAAGACAGCGUCACGGAGUCACUGCCAGGAACGUGCUGAGGAAUGGAGUGGCCCACGGCGGCCUUGGGGUGAAGGGGACCCAGGCCUGUGACAGCCACUCCAGGAACUCCUGGGGGUGCUCCAACCUCCGCGUUUUCCUGUGCUGCCAAGCUCAGAAGCCAGAGGCGGGUUUGGUAGUGGCUAAUGGGACAAUGUGCUGUCCAGCAAAGCACACAUGGAGAAGCGGCCCCAAAAUUCCCACCUUGAUUUCCAUCCUGCCCCUUCUUCUACUCCACGGAGGCGCUGUCUCACUAGGGUCCCCUCCCCAAGGCUCAGCUCUAAGACCUGCACCUGCUUCUCUUGGCCCCUGCGUGACAGACAAGUCCAUUCCCUCCUUAGCUCAGAACACCAAAUAUCACCAGACUGCCUAAGAGACUUGAUGACACCUCCCGGAAUGCUCUCGGGGUGGGGUUCACCUCUCCUUGUCCUGCACCCACUGCUAGGCCACAUUCUCGUUUCUGCUCACAUCCCAUUGCCCGGCUACAAGGCCUGCCCACGGCCCUUAAACUUGCUGGGCAGGUUUGGAGCCCAUGGGACCCCGUGGGUCUCUGUCCAGGAGCAGCAGAGGAGGCUGACAGGCCCUGCUCCCUCUGCUCUGGGGGUGUCUGGGAGCCCCAGCUCACACCCUCCCAAUGCUUAUAUGCUGAAGCUCACAGAAUGGGCUUCUUGCCUGACAGCAAGUCAAAGAAUGAGUUUAAUAUCAAAGUGUAAGCUUACUUUCCAUCCCCAAGCCAGCCUGCCCCCUGCCCCAUUUCCCAUGAGCACACUUCUGGGGAAGGAAAACAGGCUCCUGGCCUUCACUCUCAGCAGAGCUUUGGAGAUGCCCCAGGCAUGCCCUGAGCUCCUUCUGUGUACCUGCUCCCACUUCUGAGCCACCCGCUGCCCCUCCGCACUGCUGGCAAACCCAGUUCCUGCCUCAGCCAGGUCUCCUUCCCUGGUUUCCAGUCACACAGAGCCCAGCAGCUUUCUCUUUCAGUCCCAUAAGGGCAGCCUUGUGUCCCUGGCCACACUUCCACCCGCCAGGGUCUUCCUCCCCAUCUUUCCAUCCUUCCUGCUGAGCUUCCACAGAGCUCGUUUGCAAACAGGGGGAUUAAAGCAUCACUGCGCAUUCG
RNAcentral lists this long non-coding RNA (2889 nucleotides) under Homo sapiens (human). RNAcentral describes it as "non-protein coding lnc-CENPBD1-2:11". Lineage: Eukaryota; Metazoa; Chordata; Mammalia; Primates; Hominidae. The record is from RNAcentral.